RNAcentral lists this transfer RNA (83 nucleotides) under Deltaproteobacteria bacterium. RNAcentral's name for it is "tRNA-OTHER". It matches the Rfam family "tRNA". Rfam says of the family: Transfer RNA (tRNA) molecules are approximately 80 nucleotides in length. Their secondary structure includes four short double-helical elements and three loops (D, anti-codon, and T loops). The record is from RNAcentral. Lineage: Bacteria; Pseudomonadati; Myxococcota; Myxococcia.
AGCGGGGUGGGGCAGUGGUAGCCCGAGCGGGUACCCGUCAAACAGAGAGCUAGACGAGGGUUCGAAUCCCUCCCCCGCUUCCA